UGACGAACGCUGGCGGCGUGCCUAAUACAUGCAAGUCGAACGCUUCUUUUUCCACCGGAGCUUGCUCCACCGGAAAAAGAGGAGUGGCGAACGGGUGAGUAACACGUGGGUAACCUGCCCAUCAGAAGGGGAUAACACUUGGAAACAGGUGCUAAUACCGUAUAACAAUCGAAACCGCAUGGUUUUGAUUUGAAAGGCGCUUUCGGGUGUCGCUGAUGGAUGGACCCGCGGUGCAUUAGCUAGUUGGUGAGGUAACGGCUCACCAAGGCCACGAUGCAUAGCCGACCUGAGAGGGUGAUCGGCCACAUUGGGACUGAGACACGGCCCAAACUCCUACGGGAGGCAGCAGUAGGGAAUCUUCGGCAAUGGACGAAAGUCUGACCGAGCAACGCCGCGUGAGUGAAGAAGGUUUUCGGAUCGUAAAACUCCGUUGUUAGAGAAGAACAAGGAUGAGAGUAACUGUUCAUCCCUUGACGGUAUCUAACCAGAAAGCCACGGCUAACUACGUGCCAGCAGCCGCGGUAAUACGUAGGUGGCAAGCGUUGUCCGGAUUUAUUGGGCGUAAAGCGAGCGCAGGCGGUUUCUUAAGUCUGAUGUGAAAGCCCCCGGCUCAACCGGGGAGGGUCAUUGGAAACUGGGAGACUUGAGUGCAGAAGAGGAGAGUGGAAUUCCAUGUGUAGCGGUGAAAUGCGUAGAUAUAUGGAGGAACACCAGUGGCGAAGGCGGCUCUCUGGUCUGUAACUGACGCUGAGGCUCGAAAGCGUGGGGAGCAAACAGGAUUAGAUACCCUGGUAGUCCACGCCGUAAACGAUGAGUGCUAAGUGUUGGAGGGUUUCCGCCCUUCAGUGCUGCAGCUAACGCAUUAAGCACUCCGCCUGGGGAGUACGACCGCAAGGUUGAAACUCAAAGGAAUUGACGGGGGCCCGCACAAGCGGUGGAGCAUGUGGUAUAAUUCGAAGCAACGCGAAGAACCUUACCAGGUCUUGACAUCCUUUGACCACUCUAGAGAUAGAGCUUCCCCUUCGGGGGCAAAGUGACAGGUGGUGCAUGGUUGUCGUCAGCUCGUGUCGUGAGAUGUUGGGUUAAGUCCCGCAACGAGCGCAACCCUUAUUGUUAGUUGCCAUCAUUCAGUUGGGCACUCUAGCAAGACUGCCGGUGACAAACCGGAGGAAGGUGGGGAUGACGUCAAAUCAUCAUGCCCCUUAUGACCUGGGCUACGCACGUGCUACAAUGGGAAGUACAACGAGUCGCGAAGUCGCGAGGCUAAGCUAAUCUCUUAAAGCUUCUCUCAGUUCGGAUUGCAGGCUGCAACUCGCCUGCAUGAAGCCGGAAUCGCUAGUAAUCGCGGAUCAGCACGCCGCGGUGAAUACGUUCCCGGGCCUUGUACACACCGCCCGUCACACCACGAGAGUUUGUAACACCCGAAGUCGGUGAGGUAACCUUUUGGAGCCAGCCGCCUAAGGUGGGAU
This 1469-nucleotide ribosomal RNA is filed under the name uncultured organism. RNAcentral's name for it is "SSU rRNA". It matches the Rfam family "Bacterial small subunit ribosomal RNA". The record is from RNAcentral.